CCUACGGGAGGCAGCAGUGGGGGAUAUUGCACAAUGGGGGAAACCCUGAUGCAGCGACGCCGCGUGGGCGAAGAAGUAUUUCGGUAUGUAAAGCCCUAUCAGCAGGGAAGAAGAAAUGACGGUACCUGAGUAAGAAGCACCGGCUAAAUACGUGCAAGCAGCCGCGGUAAUACGUAGGGUGCAAGCGUUAGCCGGAUUUACUGGGUGUAAAGGGAGCGCAGGCGGCACGGCAAGCCUGAUGUGAAAGCCCGGGGCCCAACCGGGGGACUGCCUUGGAAACUGCCGGGCUGGAGUGCCGGAGAGGUAGGCGGAAUGCCUAGUGUAGCGGUGAAAUGCGUAGAUAUUAGGAGGAACACCAGUGGCGAAGGCGGCCUACUGGACGGUAACUGACGCUGAGGCUCGAAAGCGUGGGGAGCGAACGGGAUUAGAUACCCGGGUAGUC
This 442-nucleotide ribosomal RNA is filed under the name uncultured bacterium. RNAcentral describes it as "partial 16S ribosomal RNA". It matches the Rfam family "Bacterial small subunit ribosomal RNA", at positions 338 to 795 of the family's 1533-position model. The record is from RNAcentral.